AGAGUUUGAUCCUGGCUCAGGACGAACGCUGGCGGCGCGUCUAAGACAUGCUAGUCGAGCGAGUAAAGCUCCCUUCGGGGAGUGUAUAAAGCGGCGAACCGGUGAGUAACACGUAUCUAACGUACCCUUGUGUCUGGGAUAGCAGACCGAAAGGUCUGGUAAUACUGGAUAAUUCGGAAUGGUCUAUAGACUAUUUCGGGAAAGCCCUCGGGCGCACAAGGAUCGGGGUGCGGCCUAUUAGCUAGUUGGUGGGGUAACGGCCUACCAAGGCAAUGAUGGGUAGCUGGUCUGAGAGGAUGGUCAGCCACACUGGGACUGAGAUAAGGCCCAGACUCCUACGGGAGGCAGCAGUUAAGAAUCUUGCACAAUUAGCGAAAGCUAGAUGCAGCGACGCCGCGUGAAGGAUGAAGGCCCUAGGGUCGUAAACUUCUGUUCUAGGGGAAGAUAAUGACGGUACCCUAGAAGAAAGCCCCGGCCAAUUACGUGCCAGCAGCCGCGGUAACACGUAAGGGGCGAGCGUUGUCCGGAAUUACUGGGCGUAAAGCGCGCGUAGGUGGUUUGAUAAGUCGGAUGUGAAAGCCACGAGCUCAACUCGUGAACUGCGUUCGAAACUGUCUCACUCGAGAGUGGGAGAGGGAAGCGGAAUUCCCGGUGUAGGGGUGAAAUCCUUAGAUAUCGGGAAGAACACCAAUGGCGAAGGCAGCUUCCUGGCCCAUUUCUGACACUGAGGUGCGAAAGCGUGGGGAGCGAACGGGAUUAGAUACCCCGGUAGUCCACGCUGUAAACGAUGGGCACUAGGUUUGGGAGGCAUCGACCCCUUCUGAGCCGCAGCUAACGCAUUAAGUGCCCCGCCUGGGGAGUACGAUCGCGAGAUUAAAACUCAAAGGAAUUGACGGGUCCCCGCACAAGCGGUGGAGCAUGUGGUUUAAUUCGUGGCUACGCGAAGAACCUUACCUGGACUAGACCUCUCUGGAAAGCCUGUGAAAGCAGGACGUGCCUUCGGGAACCAGAGUGUGCAGGUGCUGCAUGGCUGUCGUCAGCUCGUGUCGUGAGAUGUUGGCUUAAGUGCCGCAACGAGCGCAACCCUUGUCGUUAGUUACCAGCGUAAAGUCGGGGACUCUAGCGAGACUGCCGGUCUUAAACCGGAGGAAGGUGAGGAUGACGUCAAGUCAGCAUGGCCUUUAUGUUCAGGGCUACACACGUGCUACAAUGGCAGGUACAACGAGUUGCGACACAGCAAUGUGAAGCUAAUCUCUUAAAACCUGUCCCAGUCCGGAUUGGAGGCUGCAAUUCGCCUCCAUGAAGUUGGAAUCGCUAGUAAACGUGGAUCAGCAUGCCGCGUUGAAUACGUUCCCGGGGAUUGUACACACCGCCCGUCACACCACCCGAGUCAGAUGCACCCGUAGUCGCUGGCCGAACCUCUUCGGAGGGCGGAGGCGCCGAAGGUGUGCCUGGUAAGGAGGGUGAAGUCGUAACAAGGUA
This 1482-nucleotide ribosomal RNA is filed under the name metagenome. RNAcentral's name for it is "bacterial SSU rRNA". It matches the Rfam family "Bacterial small subunit ribosomal RNA". The record is from RNAcentral.